This is a long non-coding RNA of Ziziphus jujuba (common jujube), 402 nucleotides long. RefSeq lists it as uncharacterized. The transcript has 3 exons. NCBI's taxonomy places the organism in Eukaryota, Viridiplantae, Streptophyta, Magnoliopsida, Rosales, Rhamnaceae. The record is from RefSeq and is a predicted model, not a curated record.
CUUUGUAGCUUUCUGUGAGGAGCUCCAACUCUUCAUCCGGUUUAUCUGGUAUGGAUCGAUUGAUACAUACAGAUUCUUCACAAUAAUGUCAUUGGAGCACGGCGCCACGGACAGAGCAAGAUGUCUGGCCUUAUUCUCGAACUCAAAACUUGGAGAUUCAGAUGAAUAUGGUACUAAUGGCACAGCAGAAGAAGGCAAACUCUUUCAAUGAUGCUGCAAGUGUUAAAUGGUGGUUAGGUAACCAAAUAGUGCAUAAUUUUCUUAAAAGUCCAAUGAAAGCUUUUGGGAUGCUGUCCACACCAGUUGAGAUGUCUUCAAUUGCCUGAAUACUGCCUGUUUGAAGGUGAUCCACUGUAGUAGAAAUGAAAUCUUCAUAGACAUUGUAGUGAUCAGCUGCUAAAA